CCUACGGGAGGCAGCAGUGAGGAAUAUUGGUCAAUGGACGCAAGUCUGAACCAGUCAUGCCGCGUGCAGGAAGACGGCUCUAUGGGUUGUAAACUGCUUUUGUACGAGGGUAAAGGCAGAUACGCGUAUCUGUCUGAAAGUAUCGUACGAAUAAGGAUCGGCUAACUCCGUGCCAGCAGCCGCGGUAAUACGGAGGAUUCAAGCGUUAUCCGGAUUUAUUGGGUUUAAAGGGUGCGUAGGUGGUCUGAUAAGUUAGAGGUGAAAUCCCGUGGCUCAACAUUGGAAUUGCCGUUGAUACUGGUCGGCUAGAGAGCAGUUGAGGUAGGCGGAAGUCGUGGUGUAGCGGUGAAAUGCUUAGAGAUCAUGAAGAACCCCGAUUGCGAAGGCAGCUUACCAAGCUGCUUCUGACGUUGAGGCACGAAAGCGUGGGGAGCAAACAGGAUUAGAUACCCUUGUAGUC
RNAcentral lists this ribosomal RNA (460 nucleotides) under uncultured bacterium. RNAcentral's name for it is "partial 16S ribosomal RNA". It matches the Rfam family "Bacterial small subunit ribosomal RNA", at positions 338 to 795 of the family's 1533-position model. The record is from RNAcentral.